GAUGAACGCUAGCUACAGGCUUAACACAUGCAAGUCGAGGGGAAACGACAUCGAAAGCUUGCUUUUGAUGGGCGUCGACCGGCGCACGGGUGAGUAACGCGUAUCCAACCUGCCCAUCACUUGGGAAUAACCUUGCGAAAGUAAGACUAAUACCCAAUGAUAUCCCACGAAGGCAUCGGAAUGGGAUUAAAGAUUUAUCGGUGAUGGAUGGGGAUGCGUCUGAUUAGCUUGUUGGCGGGGUAACGGCCCACCAAGGCAACGAUCAGUAGGGGUUCUGAGAGGGAGGUCCCCCACAUUGGAACUGAGACACGGUCCAAACUCCUACGGGAGGCAGCAGUGAGGAAUAUUGGUCAAUGGGCGAGAGCCUGAACCAGCCAAGUAGCGUGCAGGAAGACGGCCCUAUGGGUUGUAAACUGCUUUUAUAAGGGAAUAAAGUGGGUCACGUGUGACUUUUUGCAUGUACCUUAUGAAUAAGGACCGGCUAAUUCCGUG
RNAcentral lists this ribosomal RNA (492 nucleotides) under uncultured bacterium. RNAcentral's name for it is "partial 16S ribosomal RNA". It matches the Rfam family "Bacterial small subunit ribosomal RNA", at positions 28 to 507 of the family's 1533-position model. The record is from RNAcentral.